This is a long non-coding RNA of Lathyrus oleraceus (garden pea), 886 nucleotides long. RefSeq lists it as uncharacterized. NCBI's taxonomy places the organism in Eukaryota, Viridiplantae, Streptophyta, Magnoliopsida, Fabales, Fabaceae. The record is from RefSeq and is a predicted model, not a curated record. The transcript has 2 exons.
CAAAAUGAAUGGGAUAUCAAUUUUUCUCUUAAUUUCUUCUUUUUGGGAUUUAUUGUGCUUCUAAAGAGAUCAAAAUCUUAUGGGAAUUAUUUUUUUCAUAUAAAAACUCAAAACUGUAUUUAUCGUUUACCUUUUCUUUACACACCCUUCAUCGUAAAUAGAUUUAUUAUUCUUAUUUUGUUAAAAUUUAACUAAGAGAUGUAUCUUUGUAUAUAUAAGGAUGACUUUGGAGAUAAAUUUUCGUAAACACAAUUAAUUCAAAAUCUAGUGAGUGUUACAUAAAUGCAUCUUCAGGCGCGUUUUAUACAUUAACACAUGCCAUACCCUUCCCUCUGACUCCUUCAUUUUUUGAAUACUCACUCAAGUUCACUCACUCCAUUUCCAAACCAUUUCCAAACCCUAUUUGAGUAAGUUUUAUCAAGUUCACUCACUCCAUUCUAUUUCAUUUGCUGCAAAGUUAUCUAGUUUAUUCAAGAUUCUCAAUCACAACUCUAUUUUGGUAAAUUUAUCAUUUCAUUUUCGUAUGUGUUUUGACAUAUGAUUUAGGUGACAUAGGUUGUUAGCUGCAUUACGUAGUAGUACAAUCGAAAUAUGUAGCUGCUAUAGACAUGCAUUGCCAUUUUGUUGGAGGUUAAGGUAGCAAUGGGGUUUCUGUCAUUGAUGAAAAUUGUAGGGGUGGAAAUAUGCCAGACCGACUAAUAGGGGCAUACGGUCUAGCCUACACAUGCUCAGGCCAUGUCAGAUUUUUUUUAAGUAGAAAAGACUUAGGUUUUUUUAUAAGUCUAUUUAAUUAAAAAUGCUAGGCUCAAGUUAUAAAAAAAAACUUUUAAGCCUAUCAGACCAACCUAUGUAAAUAAAUAUGGAUUUUUUUAUUAUCUUUAUGUUA